Molecule: long non-coding RNA, 1858 nt
Filed under: Equus caballus (horse)
Lineage: Eukaryota; Metazoa; Chordata; Mammalia; Perissodactyla; Equidae
Description: lncRNA (ENSECAG00000051545.1)
Source: RNAcentral
CUGGUUUCACACCAGGAGAGGCAAGCUGAGAAGACCUGAGGCUAAUUCCUCCCUUCCACCACAUGCUCAACUCCUAAACAGGGCUAUCACUCUGAAAGAAGCACACCAUUGUCCCCAGCCCAGCUCCAGAGCCCUGGCUGGGGGAUUUUGCCCGGGACAGAAGCAGGCUGUAAAACAGAUAGGUCCUAAACUCUUUCCAAAGGAACUGACUAUCUGCAACAGAGGGUGGAGAAGUUCAAGCCUAAGGCUGCUCUCAAAAACUGGAGUUUGUGAAAGGGAACUUGGAGGAGGUUGGUAGAGCCGGCGAAGAUGCAGUCUAAAGUGUAAACCGGCUAGUUUGCAGGGGAGAACCAGGGAAAGAGUCAGCUGGGAGGAGCCCUCCUGAGGUCAGAAUACUACAGGGGCUACUCCUUCAAAGGAGCCUAAGCCUGUAGAGCCAUUGAUGCCCCUGAGCCUUGCUGUAAACAAUAGAGCGAUCAGCUGGCAAUUAAUGGAGCUUAAUAGCUGGAUGUGGUCAGGGAAAGAGAUGAAGGGCGCCUAGCCCAAAUCAUUGCCAUCCCAGGGCGUCUGUGGGCAUACCCUGAACUACGCUCCCUGCAGAGCAACACCAGGGGGUUAACACUUCAAGUGAGCGGAGGGAAGGCUUCACCAAAAUAAGCCAGCCAGUCACCAAACAUACAAGCAAAUAACAAGCCUGGGGCAGUGGGGGGCAGAGGAGGGGGGUGCCGUGAACCAGGACCAAGAGUUGCUACAAUACAUUAUCUAAAGUGUCCAGUUUCCAAGAAAAAUUUAUGAGACAAGCAAAGAAGCAGGAAAGCCCGACUCUUAGACUGGAAAAUGGAGUCAGCAGGAACUGCCCUGUGCCAGUGGCCGUAUGUCGGAUAUAACAAAGCCUAAAAGCAGCCCUGAGGAGGACACUGUCAAAUUCAAAUACAGAGGCAGACACAGCAGAAUUAGUGCUGGAAAGCAUCUGCUCCACCGGGAAUGAUGAAGGCCCCUGGUGGCCUCGGUGGGGACAGUUUCAGUGGUGCAGUAGGAGAAGAAACCAGACGAAGAGAGAAAUGGAGACAGCACAGACUUCCCCUACCAAGAACUCGGAUGAAAAGAAAAGAGAGUAGCUAAGAAAGUGCCUGCUGUGGCCCAGGUUCCUCACCAGGUCAGGGAACCACACCACCUGUCUGGGGGUCAUCAUACUGUGGCAGCUGUGUGUUGCUGUGAUGCUGAAAGCUAUGCCACCACUAUCUCAAAUACCACCAGGGUCACCCAUGGUGGACAGGUUUCAGCAGAGCUUCCCACCUCUGGAAAAGUUGGUCAUGAAAACCCUAUGAACAGCACCAGAGCAUCGUCUGACAGAGUGCUGGAAGGUGAGAGGAUGGCGCAAAAAGACCGAAAAGGGUCCAGCCCUGGUGUCCACAGGGUUGCUAGGAGUCUGAAUCGACUGACAGCUCCAAAAACAAGAGUGCCAGCUCAACAGAGGAGUCUCGUGUCUCCCGCCAGCAUCCAUAAAGCUGCACCAGGCUGACCGGUUAGUUUGCACCCUGGGUAAAUCUCAGACCCUUCGCAGUUCCUGACAGGAGACAACUUUGUAGUCAGGGGCCUGGGAAGCUGAAGCUCCCCUCUCAGAGGUAUGGCAGUGAGAAGAGGAGUCUUGAGGAAAGAGGUGAUGUUCUGGAAUCAUUGUUGGCGGGAUGGAAGCAGGAGCUCAGCAAGGACAAGGAAAAGGCUGGUGUAGAGAGCCCAGCUGAAGCUGACCGUGUGGUGGAAACGGGAGAAGGUGCUGAUCAAGGGAGAUGUAACCUCUACAGGGACUUUCACAACUGAAAACCAUAAAGAUUGAAAUAAAAGACGUGAAACCACC